This is a long non-coding RNA of Neofelis nebulosa (Clouded leopard), 2348 nucleotides long. RefSeq lists it as uncharacterized. The transcript is spliced from 5 exons. The record is from RefSeq and is a predicted model, not a curated record. Lineage: Eukaryota; Metazoa; Chordata; Mammalia; Carnivora; Felidae.
CGGGUUCAGGCGAGCAGAGGGCCUGUGGGAGCCGCAGAGAGAAACGGAAGAGACGUCGAGGACAGGCCUGUAAGAAGAGAACGAUCUGGAGGCAGGCCGUCCUGCCAGACGCCCACGUGGGAAGAAAAUCAGACGUUAUUAACACUGUACAGACGGAUCCCCUCACCCAUCUUCCUGCCCCUCCUUUCCUGUGUACGUCUGACAGGCACAGACAACCAUGAAAAGUGACCUGAGUGCCCACGGUGAAGCAUGCGGAGAGGAGGUGAAAGGUGUCAUGUCGUGAAGGAGUGCCCGGUGAUUUCACAGAAGACUUGGACUUGGAAAUGGACACCUGCGCUGGGCGUGUUACUCCGCUGCCACCAGAGCCUCGUCACUAUUUCCACACGCAUUUCCUUGAUCGGAGAAUCCAAAAUCACUCACUUUAGCUGAUACAGAAUGAAGGAUAAUAAUAGCACAGCCCUGAGGCCGACACCGUUUCCAGGCUACCACCUUUUCCGCGGCAUCGCUCCGUCCUUGGUGCCAGUUGCCAUGAGAUAACGCCUUGGUGUUGGCAUCCAGAAUGCAGAAUCUUGAGCAACACUUUGUUUCCAAUGUGUCAGAAUCCUACAGACAGGAUUCCUUCAGAUCAUUGUGGUCCAGUAAUUUCACAAUGGGAUGCUGUCUUCACAACAUAACCAGAAAAGUAGGAGAGGUGUGGGCACAUGGGCUCCCACGAGGGCAUGACAGUCCGUAGUUGCUCCUGGCCUCCCGUCUCGCUCUCCCUGCAACACCGGUGCACAGACGCACCCACCCACAGGUCGUACACACUCGCUACUCUCAGCCGCCUUCCUUUAUCUUUGAAUCGACCCUGCACGCCUCUCCUCCUCGUGGAGUCUUCCCCACCCUGCGUGACUGGUUUCUGCCUCCCGUGUGCCCUAGCGUUCUGUCUUCUUGUUCUUUACGUGCAGGUCACAGUGGCAGUCAUGGGAUGGUUCAUGUAGUUGUGUUUCUUAUUUAAUGUUCUGUAAGGAAUGAAGUCGUGUCUCGGUUACUGCUGCACUUUCUACCCCGAAUAGCAUGAGCAAAUGUUCACUGAACGUUUGUUAAAUGAAAAGAGAGUGAAAUGUUGGAAUCACCUAAAUGCCCAACCGUUACAGUACAGGCAGGAAUACUUUCUGAUCAUUUACAUUUUUGUUUUCAUAGUUUUUUAGUGCCGAGGGAAAUUGCCUUUUCUGAUAGCAUUAGUUUUGUGAAAACCAAAACCAAAACAUGAAAGUUGCUGGAAAGAAAUACACCAAAAUGUUCACAGUGGUUAUUGCUAAAGUGGAGAACUAUGUUCUUGUAUGUUUACUUUAAAAUAGGCAUGUAUUAGUUUUAUAGCCAGAAAAACAUAGUUUGUUUCGUUUUUAAAUUGAUUUAAGCCUAAGUUAUGGAAAAAGUACCUCUGAGGCAUAGGGAAGUUGCAAGUAAAACCGGGUUUAAAAACAGAUUUCAGUAAAAUAUUUCCAAGUUUUAUUUCUUUUGAGGGAGAGACAGAUCACUCAUGUAAGAGCAAGCAUGAGUGGGGGAGGGGCAGAGAGAGAGAGAAAGAGAGAGAGAGAGAAUCUCAAGCAGGCUCUGCUAUCUCAGAGCCCAACAUGGGGCUCGAUCCCACAACCCUGGGAUCGUGACCUGAGCCGAAAUCAAGAGUCAGAUGCUUAACUGACUGAGCCACCCUGGCACCCUUCAAUAAAACAAUAUUUUAAAUGCUCCAUUUGAAGAGAAGCCUCAUCAGGAGAAUGGAUAGUAGCUAGAUGGAGUGGUACCUUCCCAAAGGACCACCGUCUGACAGAGAACAGAAUAAAGUACAGCAACACAUUGACAACAGAUAAAGCCUGCAAGAAAACAUAUAGUGCUAUUGAUAAAAUGAAAUCAGUGUAUAAUAGCAAUCUUGCAAAUGUUUAAGAUAUAUAAAAAUAUGAUUAAUUGUUUAGGAUACAUUUAUUGUAAAGGUACGGAGAAAUACGUAGUGUGACAUGUGGUGAUACGAAACUCACAAGAAUGGUUUCCUUUGUUGAGAGAGGGGUUUGUGGCUGAGGAGAGAGAAAAGGGAGGUUUGAUUUUUUUAACCAAGUGGUGGAUAUGGGUGUUAUUGCAAAAUUGUACUUUUGUGUGCGUUGUAAUAUUUUAUAGUGUCCUGAAAUUUCAUAACAUGUUUUGAAAUAAAAGUAAAACUGAAGGGAAUCUGCCACUAACUCUUUCGUAAACAAAGAUUCUUUUGUAAAUAGGGGCAGCAUGCUUUCUGUGGUCUGUAAACUCAGAUUCUCUUUCACUCUCCCUCCUUCCUUCCUGCCCAGUCUCUCUCUUUCUCUUUCUGUCUCUCUGUCUCU